RNAcentral lists this ribosomal RNA (781 nucleotides) under Pseudoalteromonas distincta. RNAcentral describes it as "bacterial SSU rRNA". It matches the Rfam family "Bacterial small subunit ribosomal RNA", at positions 78 to 862 of the family's 1533-position model. The record is from RNAcentral. Lineage: Bacteria; Pseudomonadati; Pseudomonadota; Gammaproteobacteria; Alteromonadales; Pseudoalteromonadaceae.
UGCUACUUUGCUGACGAGCGGCGGACGGGUGAGUAAUGCUUGGGAACAUGCCUUGAGGUGGGGGACAACAGUUGGAAACGACUGCUAAUACCGCAUAAUGUCUACGGACCAAAGGGGGCUUCGGCUCUCGCCUUUAGAUUGGCCCAAGUGGGAUUAGCUAGUUGGUGAGGUAAUGGCUCACCAAGGCGACGAUCCCUAGCUGGUUUGAGAGGAUGAUCAGCCACACUGGGACUGAGACACGGCCCAGACUCCUACGGGAGGCAGCAGUGGGGAAUAUUGCACAAUGGGCGCAAGCCUGAUGCAGCCAUGCCGCGUGUGUGAAGAAGGCCUUCGGGUUGUAAAGCACUUUCAGUCAGGAGGAAAGGUUAGUAGUUAAUACCUGCUAGCUGUGACGUUACUGACAGAAGAAGCACCGGCUAACUCCGUGCCAGCAGCCGCGGUAAUACGGAGGGUGCGAGCGUUAAUCGGAAUUACUGGGCGUAAAGCGUACGCAGGCGGUUUGUUAAGCGAGAUGUGAAAGCCCCGGGCUCAACCUGGGAACUGCAUUUCGAACUGGCAAACUAGAGUGUGAUAGAGGGUGGUAGAAUUUCAGGUGUAGCGGUGAAAUGCGUAGAGAUCUGAAGGAAUACCGAUGGCGAAGGCAGCCACCUGGGUCAACACUGACGCUCAUGUACGAAAGCGUGGGGAGCAAACGGGAUUAGAUACCCCGGUAGUCCACGCCGUAAACGAUGUCUACUAGAAGCUCGGAGCCUCGGUUCUGUUUUUCAAAGCUAACGCAUUA